This 91-nucleotide transfer RNA is filed under the name uncultured Thermomicrobiales bacterium. RNAcentral describes it as "tRNA-SeC(p)-TCA". It matches the Rfam family "Selenocysteine transfer RNA". Lineage: Bacteria; Pseudomonadati; Thermomicrobiota; Thermomicrobia; Thermomicrobiales. The record is from RNAcentral.
GGGGGCGGAGGGGUCCCGGUGGGCUCCCCGGUCUUCAAAACCGGUGGCCGUCGUAGUCCGGCGGCGGUGGGUUCGACUCCCAUGCGCCCUC